Molecule: unclassified non-coding RNA, 395 nt
Filed under: Hevea brasiliensis (rubber tree)
Lineage: Eukaryota; Viridiplantae; Streptophyta; Magnoliopsida; Malpighiales; Euphorbiaceae
Source: RNAcentral
CCGAGAAACAAAAAACGACACCCACAGAAAGCACAGCCCAAGGGGGGAACUUGUUGAUGACAAUACCAGGGAUCAAACCCACAUUCUCUCCAAUAUCAUUAGCCACUCCAAGAAUUGUUACCUGCUGCUGGUUGAAUCCAAGCACUGAUUUGAGAGCAGUAGAGUAGAGUGGGAAGUUGUAGCCAUUCCCCUGCAGCCACCUGCACCCAUGCAGCGGCUGCCAAUCCCACCCAAGGUGGCCUACUCCCAGGUUUAAGCACUAUAUUUGGCAUCUUAGAUCACAUGAUAUGAUAUUUUUCUUGUUAAAUGGUCUCUGUUUCCACACCCGAAAGGGAACUUUUAGAGUUCUCUUUGGAUAUAGAUCUUCUCGUUCCAACUCCCAACUAGGGCAAGAC